Molecule: RNA transcript, 4317 nt
Organism: Archocentrus centrarchus (flier cichlid)
Lineage: Eukaryota; Metazoa; Chordata; Actinopteri; Cichliformes; Cichlidae
Exons: 8
Source: RefSeq, a predicted model, not a curated record
GGCGGAUCCGCCUUCAAGUCAGCCGAUCCGCCCCACCCUUCUUGCUCUCCGGACUGGGCCCGCCCCACCUACUGACAGCGGAUUAUCAAAACGCGGCUCCGCCACGGCUCCACGGCGGAGCCCUUCAGCGAACUCGCGCCUUUCCCCACCCCCCUCUUUUUUUCUUUUUCAAAAGUCAACGACUGCUGUCAUAAGGAGCGCAGGAGCAGAGCUUCUCUAAGAUCAAUUCAGCCUGCCUUCCCCCCUCCACCUUGUCUGCUACCUCACUGAAAUAAAAUGAAUAGAAAGACUCUACCUGUCUCCAACUCCACCUUAAGAAGGAGGGCCCGUGUAGACGUAGAAAACCGACUUAAACAAAUGCGGGAUGACGCCACAAAUUUAAUUGACUUUCAGAUGACAACAGAGAGGAACCUUGACCAUGGACACAUCAGUGAAGAGCAUUUUCAUGAAAGUCACACUGGAACUGAUAAUCCACACUGUCUAGACACUGAAACCGGUGCUGGUUUUAGUGAGCAAGAUGGCAUGGAGAUAGAUCUAGGCCUGUCUGAGGAUUUUGAGGAUGCUGCUUGUGAUGUUCAGACUCAGACAUCUGAGUCUGAUCAUUUUGAUGAUGAACUCCAAGACUCGGUUUCACUCUCUGACAGUUUAUCCCACUGGGCCAUACAAUUUCGUAUUUCCUUGGUCGCUUUGACAGCAUUAUUGGCCAUACUUCGCAUUUACCAUUCUGAUAUUCCAAAGGAUGCUAGGACACUCCUCAGAACUGAGACAGAAUACUCAAUUCUUGAAAGGGCUGGAGGACAGUACCACUAUUUUGGCAUUCUGGCUUCUCUUAGAAAUACAUUGUUAAAGUUCAAACACACGUUAGCAGACAGUUUCACUUUGAAGUUACAAAUCAACAUAGAUGGACUUCCUUUGUUCAAGAGUUCUUGUCUGCAGUUGUGGCCCAUCCUUGGUCUACUAUUAAGUGUUCCCAUGAAGGAACCUGUAGUUAUAGGUUUGUUCUGUGGACCAAAGAAACCAAGUUCAGCAAAAGACUUCCUUGAAGACUUUGUUACAGAGUUACAAUAGCUUGAAAAUGGUUUUGAUUUAGAAGGUAAACAGUUAAAUCUCAAGCUGCAUACAGUCAUCUGUGACACACCAGCCAGGUCCUUUAUUAAAAACACAAAGAACCACAAUGCCUACCAUGGAUGUGACAAAUGUGUGCAGCCUGGAAACUAUAUUAACAGACGCAUGACAUACCCAUGUGCAGACUAUGCCCUACGGACAGAUGAAUCAUUCACAAACAUGGCCGAUGAGAGUCGUCAUCAUGAAGGACCACAUCCAUUUAUUGGCAGUAGUGUGGGUAUGGUUUCACAGUUCCCUCUAGAUUACAUGCAUUUAGUUUGUUUAGGAGUUGUUAGAAGAAUGCUACACAUCUGGCUCAGGGGUCCUCUGAAUUUUCGAUUGCCUGCGAGCAUAGUGGAAAGAAUGUCAGCAAAACUGUUAGAAAUGCGUUCCUUUAUUCCUGUAGAGUUUGCACGGAAGCCCAGAUCUCUGAGGGAAUUGGAUCGUUGGAAGGCCACAGAAUUUAGACAGUUUCUCCUGUACACAGGACCUGUAAUGCUAGGCACAUUUCUGGAUCAAAAUAUGUACUAUAAUUUCAUGCUACUCUUCUCUGGUGUUGCUAUUUUAGUUAGUCCUAGACUGUCCUGCCACACACAGUAUGCCCGUACUUUGCUGAAAUGUUUUGUUAGUCACUUUGGUGAAAUAUAUGGAAAAGAUCAAAUUGUUUAUAAUGUACAUGGUUUGGUCCAUCUAGCAGGUGAUGUGCAACUACAUGGUUGUCUGGACUCAUUUUCUGCAUUUCCUUAUGAAAAUUAUCUGCAUAAGCUUAAAAAGCUCAUCAGGAAACCAGAGUUCCCCCUUGCCCAAAUAAUCCGUCGAUUGUCUGAAAUUAGAAUUAUGGAAGCUCCUUUAAGUUGUAUGUCUUUUAAAAAGCCACAUUAUGUUGGACCAAUUAUAGGUGGACUGUCAGUGAAAGCACAGUAUGGUGAAAUGACCUGUGAUAAGUGGACUGUUAAAGUUUCAACUGGGGAUAAUGUUUUUGUUAUUGGAAAUGAUAUUUGUUGUAUACAUAACAUUGUAGAGUGCAGUGAUGGAGUCUAUGUGGUAUACAAGGAAUUCUCAGAUAAAUCUUUGUUCUUUGAUUAUCCAUUUAACUCUGACUAUCUGAAUAUUUAUAAAAUUUCACAAACAUCAGAUUCAUUCAAGUGUGUUAAAGUGUCAGAGCUUGUUGUAAAAUGUACUGUUUUGCCUCAUAGAGAUGGUUUUGUGGCCAUACCAAUGUUCCAUGCCUUUUAGGGACACAUCAGAUUUUUCUCUGUACCUGUCUAUUGUCCUUGCUGGCAGUAUAACUUAAUAGCUAUUAAGGCUGUUUUUUUCUAACAGGCAUUUAAAAUGUCGAGGAUGAUACCAUUUUGUUAUAUUAUUUUCUAAGCAAAGCAAUUGUGGUAGUGUUGCUGGUUGCAGCUCUUUUUUUUGUUAUUUGUUGUUGUUUGAUUUCUUUUUCCACUUCAAGAUGUUCCAUUUGGUCGAGUUCCAGAGCAACAAAGCAGUAGCAGUAGUACCAGAAAACUGGUGCUGUGAUGUUGCUACCUACUGGCCCAACUAUAGAAAUGAUGAAAGAGUGGAUAAGGCAGUAAAAAAUGUAGAGGAACCAGGACCAGACUGGAAGACAUACAAUAUCAGAAUUAUCAAAUCAUGUGAUCAGUACUUUGAGGCACGACAGCUUCUGAAGAAAUCGCUUACAUGCAGCACAUCAGACCUUCAGUCAGAAGAGGAAGAGGAGGAAAUACGACCAAAAAGGAAGCCAAAGGCAAUUCAUUUCUUUGGGGACUCUGACAGUGACACAGAAGAAGUUUACCUGAAAAGGAAAGCCAGAGCUGCAGUAAGACGCCCACUACAACCACCUGCUCCAGUUAUCCAACCACCACCUUUCACUGGAGCUAGCAUCCACACAAUUGCUUCUUCUACAAAAACUCCAUCACCACCACUGCUUGCCCAGAUGGAAAAUAGACCAAGAGAUGAGCCAACUCCUUCUUCAAGCCAUGUCUACAGGCCUACUUGGAAAGGGGGACGGUAUGGCUCAGACACAAUUACCUGCUCUGCUGCAGAAGUUCAAAUAUUGAGCUUACUGGAGUACAUUAAACACCAACAAGACCAAUUAACCACCAAAGUAAACUAUCUGACCAACAAGCUGAACUCAACUGUCCAAGAAAGAGAAAUACCUGACCCUGUACAGUUUCCACUACAAUCAAUGGAGGAAGUGGAGAAUUUUGAGAAAUGGCUCAAAGAUCCUGCUAACUCUCACCUGAAGUAGAGUGUGAUUUCUUCACUGGCAGCCAUCGGGGGGCUGAUGCAAGAAGUAUCACAUGGAACAUUCUUUCCCGCAUGUUCCACAGUGACAUUGGACAGAAGAUAAAUUGGACAGGGGCCAAUGGAAAGGGAGGUUUCUCCCAGAUGGCAUCAAAAACAGUACUCUUGGAUGCAGUAAGAAAGACCCACGUGUCCCGUGCUGCCACAGAAGAGGAGAUUCGGAAACAUGCCAUACGAUGGUUCAAUCUGGCAGCAGACAGAGGAAGAAGGCGGCGUCCUCCUGUUACCAUCCCGAAUCAAUGCUGAGGACUUCAGUUUGUUAUUGUUACUGUUAUUGUUCCAAAAAUGGUUAUCUUUCAGUUAUUUGUCUGUUAAUGUUUUAAUGAAGUACAGUAAUGAAUCAAUGCAUCACCUGCUUAAUUAAUUUGUGAUAGUAUUUCCUUUCUUUGCCAUUUUACUUUUUCCUUUACUGCAUUUUGUUAAAGAAUAAAGAAGUGUUAAAGGAUUUAUAGUAAAUAAACAGUAUUCUUGAUACAUUUAUGAUCCCAUUAUUUUUGUAAUACUCAUAUGCUCAUCUUGUUAUUCAAAUGGAAAAUUAGGCUUUAGAUAAGGAUGCCGUAAUUGUUAAAGAUUUUUCAUUUUCCCUAAAAUCAGUCUUUAUGUCCAAAUAGAUAUUUUAGCUUUAACUGUAGCUAGCAUGGCUACAGCAAUUUUUAAUAAGGGAUCCUGAAAAUAUUCUGGCCAAAAUAAGCUGUUAUAUGAACGGAUUCAAAACGGAUCCGUGUCGGAUCAGUUUUUCCACAGACGGCUCCGUAAAGGAUCCGUUUUGGAUAACCUGAAACGUGGACGGGUCCGAUUUGUAUCCGGUCCUGAUCUGUUCCUCAACCGUGAUCCUGAUCCGUUACUGAUCCGUCCCGCUGUGCAAGUGGACUCCGAUACGGACCGGUUUUGCGGGUCCGUUAC